Long non-coding RNA from Patella vulgata (common limpet), 366 nucleotides. RefSeq lists it as uncharacterized. The transcript has 3 exons. The record is from RefSeq and is a predicted model, not a curated record. NCBI's taxonomy places the organism in Eukaryota, Metazoa, Mollusca, Gastropoda, Patellidae.
UGUUAUCGACACCUGAUGUAGCUGAGGAUAUUGUUGUAGGGGUUGUAGAAAAUGACAGAUUUCUUUUCAGAUUAUUUACGGCAAUACCAAUAUUUUCAAACAGCAAUCAAUGGACGACAGAUUUCCUGUGAAGAUGGUAUACAGAGUAUCUGGCAUGCGUUUACAAGUUGCGUGGAAGGACCAACAGAACUUAUUGGAUUUAUAUCAGGAAUUGUCGCCAUACCUGUAUGGUGCUUGGCAUUUAUUAUAAUGAAGACUACAGAUCAAAACCGGAUACUGGCCUCCAAACGAAACGACUUACCACGGGUGGUUAUCCAUGUUUUGGACUGUUUUGGAACUUUAUUAUCAUUUCAGCUCACCUCUCAG